UGGGGAAUAUUGCACAAUGGGCGCAAGCCUGAUGCAGCCAUGCCGCGUGUAUGAAGAAGGCCUUCGGGUUGUAAAGUACUUUCAGCGGGGAGGAAGGGAGUAAAGUUAAUACCUUUGCUCAUUGACGUUACCCGCAGAAGAAGCACCGGCUAACUCCGUGCCAGCAGCCGCGGUAGUACGGAGGGUGCAAGCGUUAAUCGGAAUUACUGGGCGUAAAGCGCACGCAGGCGGUUUGUUAAGUCAGAUGUGAAAUCCCCGGGCUCAACCUGGGAACUGCAUCUGAUACUGGCAAGCUUGAGUCUCGUAGAGGGGGGUAGAAUUCCAGGUGUAGCGGUGAAAUGCGUAGAGAUCUGGAGGAAUACCGGUGGCGAAGGCGGCCCCCUGGACGAAGACUGACGCUCAGGUGCGAAAGCGUGGGGAGCAAACAGG
RNAcentral lists this ribosomal RNA (429 nucleotides) under Chloroflexota bacterium. Its description in RNAcentral is "Chloroflexi bacterium partial 16S ribosomal RNA". It matches the Rfam family "Bacterial small subunit ribosomal RNA", at positions 355 to 776 of the family's 1533-position model. Lineage: Bacteria; Bacillati; Chloroflexota. The record is from RNAcentral.